Molecule: transfer RNA, 73 nt
Filed under: Ailuropoda melanoleuca (giant panda)
Lineage: Eukaryota; Metazoa; Chordata; Mammalia; Carnivora; Ursidae
Rfam family: tRNA
About the family: Transfer RNA (tRNA) molecules are approximately 80 nucleotides in length. Their secondary structure includes four short double-helical elements and three loops (D, anti-codon, and T loops).
Source: Rfam by way of RNAcentral
ACCUGGCUGGCUUAGUCGGUAGAGCAUGCGACUCUUGAUCUCAGGGUUGUGAGUUCAAGCCCCACACUGGAUG